This 502-nucleotide ribosomal RNA is filed under the name uncultured bacterium. RNAcentral describes it as "bacterial SSU rRNA". It matches the Rfam family "Bacterial small subunit ribosomal RNA", at positions 28 to 507 of the family's 1533-position model. The record is from RNAcentral.
GAUGAACGCUAGCGACAGGCUUAACACAUGCAAGUCGAGGGGCAUCGGGACGUAGCAAUACGUUGCCGGCGACCGGCGGAUGGGUGAGUAACGCGUAUGCAACCUGCCCACGACAGGGGGACAGCCCGUUGAAAGACGGAUUAAUACCCCAUAAAACAGGGGUUCCGCAUGGGACUAUUUGUUAAAGGUUUUUCCGCGAGGGGGAUCCGGUUGUGGAUGGGCAUGCGUUCCAUUAGGCAGUUGGUGGGGUAACGGCUCACCAAACCGACGAUGGAUAGGGGAACCGGGAGGUUGGUCCCCCACACUGGUACUGAGAUACGGACCAGACUCCUACGGGAGGCAGCAGUGAGGAAUUUUGGUCAAUGGACGGAAGUCUGAACCAGCCAAGUCGCGUGAAGGAAGGCGGCCCUAAGGGUUGUAAACUUCUUUUGUAAGGGAAUAAAGGCCGGUACGUGUUACCGGUUUGCAGGUACCUUACGAAUAAGGAUCGGCUAACUCCGUG